Molecule: ribosomal RNA, 678 nt
Filed under: uncultured Arthrobacter sp.
Lineage: Bacteria; Bacillati; Actinomycetota; Actinomycetes; Micrococcales; Micrococcaceae
Description: bacterial SSU rRNA
Rfam family: Bacterial small subunit ribosomal RNA
Source: RNAcentral
UGCAAGUCGAACGAUGAUCCCAGCUUGCUGGGGGAUUAGUGGCGAACGGGUGAGUAACACGUGAGUAACCUGCCCUUGACUCUGGGAUAAGCCUGGGAAACUGGGUCUAAUACCGGAUACGACAUCUGGCGCAUGUCAUGGUGGUGGAAAGCUUUUGUGGUUUUGGAUGGACUCGCGGCCUAUCAGCUUGUUGGUGGGGUAAUGGCCUACCAAGGCGACGACGGGUAGCCGGCCUGAGAGGGUGACCGGCCACACUGGGACUGAGACACGGCCCAGACUCCUACGGGAGGCAGCAGUGGGGAAUAUUGCACAAUGGGCGCAAGCCUGAUGCAGCGACGCCGCGUGAGGGAUGACGGCCUUCGGGUUGUAAACCUCUUUCAGUAGGGAAGAAGCGUAAGUGACGGUACCUGCAGAAGAAGCGCCGGCUAACUACGUGCCAGCAGCCGCGGUAAUACGUAGGGCGCAAGCGUUAUCCGGAAUUAUUGGGCGUAAAGAGCUCGUAGGCGGUUUGUCGCGUCUGCUGUGAAAGACCGGGGCUCAACUCCGGUUCUGCAGUGGGUACGGGCAGACUAGAGUGCAGUAGGGGAGACUGGAAUUCCUGGUGUAGCGGUGAAAUGCGCAGAUAUCAGGAGGAACACCGAUGGCGAAGGCAGGUCUCUGGGCUGUAACUGACGCUGA